This is a long non-coding RNA of Gopherus evgoodei (Goodes thornscrub tortoise), 481 nucleotides long. RefSeq lists it as uncharacterized. Lineage: Eukaryota; Metazoa; Chordata; Testudines; Testudinidae. The transcript is spliced from 3 exons. The record is from RefSeq and is a predicted model, not a curated record.
CUCUGACAUCCUCACAUGAGUAAUGCCAGUUUGCAGAAUCUGGGCCUUACGUUGCAGGAGGUAGUCACAGAAAAGGGAUGGAAAUGACAUUCAUCUGUCUUCACAACAUCUCUGAAACCUUGUUUACAAGGAAGACAAGUUGCACCAAAGCAAAUAAGACUGGAGCUGUUGACAGACAAGAUGCAGUCAGGAAUUUUUAAUCAAGAGACCAUGUUUGCUGAAGUGACUGUUCACAUCUUUCCUAUGAAAUAAUUCAACUAUCUAUAUUUUCCCUCCCAUUGGAAGUGAAGGUUGCUGAUGUGAUGGCCUCCUUAAAAUGAUGCAAUGGAAUACUACUCUGGAGUAUGAAACAUUUUACCGAGAAGAGGAAUAUGCAGCCUUUGUAAUUUCUCCUUCUUGCACUGCUAUAAAGGCUGGGUUCUCUUUUAUGUUUGUGGUAGAAGAGCAUAAUUCCAUCCCCUUGGUUAGCAGUGAAUGCUUG